AUUUUAAAUAAUAAUUAUUUAUGUUCGAGAGUGUACUUUUCAUCAUAUAAAAGAUAAAAGGAUAAAGAGAUGUUGAAAUGCAAAAUCCCUUAGUAAAUGAAGAGAUAAAAGGCUGUGGGAGAUGUUCUUACUCGUGUCCUCUGUGUUUUAUUUUUUUGUUAACUAAGUCUCUAUGAUUUUUAAAGGCAUACUAUAACAUUUAACUCUGCUUAGCGGUAAAAACGUUGCGGAUAUUUAUAUUAAUAUGUGUAUAUAUACUCUUAUAAGGUACUAUUAUAUUUCGUGAAAAUGCAUUCUGGGGAGAUUCCAGAUAAAUAUUCAAAAUCUGAUUUUGUUAAUAGGUUGUGAAUACAUGAACAUUUAUUGGAGGAUUGUUUCCACUAAUACGACUAAUGUUCGUCAUAUGGCUCCAAAUAUCAACUACAAAAUGUAUGCAUAUGCACGCCAGUAAACCCAAUGCAUGCUAAUAUGAACGGAAGAAAGUAAAAAUAUGCCUCCGCCUCCACGCAAUAAUGAACCACUACAAACUAGACCAGACCAAAAAAUUAGGCAUUAAUCAUGUCUUGGUUAAACGAGUGGAAGGGAAUGUUUUUGGACCGAAGAUCCUCUCUUAUCAUCUUCUUGGUUCUUAGUUCCCUGUAUUAAUUUAGGAGUUUGUAGCUUUGAGUUCAAUGCCUAGGUUGAAACAGAGAAUCUGAACUGCAUUGUCUCUUAACAAAAGUGAUAUGAGCUACAAACACAAUGAUAACGAUUCACAUAUCACAACGAUAUCCCAAUUACCCGAAUUAAAAACUAUAUAGAUUUGGUUUAGACACUUAGAUUUCAGAUUAGAACAGUUAUGUAAACUGAUAAACUGAGUUGACACAAAGGAAGCAAAAGCCUAGGAAGGAAAGAAUGCAAGAACCAAACUGAAAAGCCCAAUAAAAGCCCAUAAAAGGCCCAUGAUUAAAAAUACUUCAAACUCCUCUCAUCCGACCGUUUAAUCAGUUACUACAGUAGUAGUAUAGAUAAAGAACAUGCGGUUCUCUUUUCUUCCCCUCCGCCGAGACUUUCUGUCUUCUCUCUCUCCGUAAUGGCGGCGGUCGCGACGUUCCUCUCUCUCUCCCCCUUUCGACGAUCCUCAACUUUACAACUUCGCGAUCUUCCUCGUAAUCACAAUCAAUCGAUUCGAAGAAGAGUCCACCUCAAAUCUCCCGCCAUCCAAGCUUCUUCUAAAAACUCCUCUCCUCAAAAUGUACAGAACAUAGUGGAAUCUCCCGAACCGGAUCCUGAUCCUAAACCUCAAAAUGGGAUUGGUAAUAUCGGAAUGGAGAUCAUGUCGAUUGCGUUACCAGCGGCGCUAGCUUUGGCCGCUGAUCCUAUAACAUCUCUUGUCGACACAGCAUUUGUUGGCCACAUUGGCUCUGCGGAGUUAGCUGCAGUAGGAGUCUCGGUUUCUGUGUUCAACUUGGUGUCUAAGCUCUUCAAUGUUCCUUUGCUGAAUGUGACUACAUCGUUCGUUGCGGAAGAGCAGGCCGUUGCAGCUAAGAAUGAUAACGAUUCUACGGAAACAAGAAAGAGAGUGCUCCCUUCUGUUUCAACGUCACUGGUUCUUGCAGCUGGUGUUGGUAUCGCAGAGGCGAUAGCUCUCUCUCUUGGAUCUGAUUACUUGAUGGACAUCAUGGCUAUACCUUUUGACUCACCGAUGAGAAUACCAGCAGAGCAGUUUCUUAGACUUAGAGCGUAUGGUGCACCACCAAUUGUAGUGGCAUUGGCUGCUCAAGGAGCUUUUCGAGGUUUCAAGGACACAACAACACCUCUAUAUGCCGUUGUUGCGGGGAACGUGCUAAACGCGAUACUGGAUCCUAUUCUGAUAUUUGUUCUUGGUUUUGGUAUCUCUGGUGCUGCGGCUGCUACUGUGAUUUCUGAAUACUUGAUUGCGUUUAUUCUUCUGUGGAAGUUGAAUGAGAAUGUGGUUUUGCUUUCUCCUCAAAUCCAAGUGGGAAGAGCCAACCAGUACCUCAAAUCAGGUGGGCUUCUGAUUGGUAGAACGGUGGCACUGCUUGUGCCAUUCACGUUGGCAACUUCGUUAGUGGCUCAGAAGGGACCUACUCAAAUGGCUGGCCAUCAAAUCUGCUUGGAGAUCUGGUUGGCUGUCUCUUUGCUCACCGAUGCUUUAGCCAUUGCUGCACAGAGUCUUCUUGCAACAAGUUUUUCUCAGGGAGAGUAUAAACAAGCUCGGGAAAUUCUCUUUGGUGUCCUUCAGGUAGGUUUAGCAACUGGAACUGGUUUGGCUGCUGUUUUGUUCAUCGGAUUUGAACCAUUUUCGAGCUUGUUUACAACGGAUUCAGAAGUUUUGAAGAUUGCUUUGUCAGGGACCUUAGAUCUCAACCGGUGAAUGCUAUAGCGUUUGUUCUUGAUGGGCUCUAUUAUGGAGUCUCUGACUUUGGAUUUGCCGCUUACGCUAUGGUGAUUGCUGGAUUCAUAUCUUCCUUGGUCAUGCUUGUGGCUGCACCAACCUAUGGACUCGCCGGGAUUUGGACGGGUUUGUUCCUCUUCAUGGCGUUGCGGUUAGUUGCCGGAGCCUGGAG
Molecule: RNA transcript, 2570 nt
Organism: Raphanus sativus (radish)
Lineage: Eukaryota; Viridiplantae; Streptophyta; Magnoliopsida; Brassicales; Brassicaceae
Gene name: protein DETOXIFICATION 44, chloroplastic-like
Exons: 12
Source: RefSeq, a predicted model, not a curated record